AAAGUAGCAUAUGCAACAGCUAUGGAUUGGUUUAUUGCUGUUUGUUAUGCGUUU
Molecule: non-coding RNA, 54 nt
Organism: Aptenodytes forsteri (emperor penguin)
Lineage: Eukaryota; Metazoa; Chordata; Aves; Sphenisciformes; Spheniscidae
Source: Rfam